CACAGCAGGCUGAGGUCAUAAGAAGGGGUGGGAAGUCCCUGGGAGGUGCGGGAAGGGGCUGGGUCCCGGACACCUUGUAGCGCCAGAGCCAGCCCCAGGACUUCACUUCAAGGAGCCGUAAUGUGCACACAGCACCUCCAGACCCAUGAGCAAGGGUUAGCUUGCUUGGAGCAGGAGAGCUGAAGAAAGGAGAACAUCCAGGGCCAGAGAGAACAUGCUGCACACCCUUCCCCCACCACGUACAACCAGACUGACAGCAGGGACAGACUGGCUGCUCUGUCAUCCCCAGUUCAGCCGAGAGGCACCUCCCCCUACUGCCGCAGCAGUCCCAGCAGACCGCCUGCCCUGAGAUCCAGCCACUGGCACGGGGCAGGGCACCCAAGCCUGCAGCACAGUUUCUGUGAAGGUGGCACCGACCACUUUCACCUGCCUCGAUGUCAUGCCCAGGUGUCUCCUUUCUGGGUGUGGGCAGGCAGCCCUCCCCUGCCUCACCUCAGACCGUCCAAAUUCCAGGUCUCAGAAUCCUGAGCAGCCUGGCCCCUAAGCCCCACUGGAAGAGAUGAAGAAAUGGCUCUCUUUUGGAGGGACUCCUUGUCAUAGAUUAAAUUCAUCGCCAAUACUUGCCCCCUACUCCAUCAAAAGAAGCCCCCAGGGGUGGGGAAGUAAAGUUAGACUUUUAUA
Long non-coding RNA from Mastomys coucha (southern multimammate mouse), 681 nucleotides. RefSeq lists it as uncharacterized. The record is from RefSeq and is a predicted model, not a curated record. The transcript has 2 exons. NCBI's taxonomy places the organism in Eukaryota, Metazoa, Chordata, Mammalia, Rodentia, Muridae.